RNAcentral lists this ribosomal RNA (361 nucleotides) under uncultured bacterium. Its description in RNAcentral is "partial 16S ribosomal RNA". It matches the Rfam family "Bacterial small subunit ribosomal RNA", at positions 338 to 696 of the family's 1533-position model. The record is from RNAcentral.
CCUACGGGGGGCUGCAGUGAGGAAUAUUGGUCAAUGGACGAGAGUCUGAACCAGCCAAGCAGCGUGAAGGAUGACGGCUCUAUGGGUUGUAAACUUCUUUUAUAAAGGAAUAAAACGAGGCACGUGUGCCUUUUUGCAUGUACUUUAUCAAUCAGGAUCGGCUAACUCCGUGCCAGCAGCCGCGGUAAUACGGAGGAUCCGAGCGUUAUCCGGAUUUAUUGGGUUUAAAGGGAGCGUAGAUGGGUUGUAAAGUCAGUUGUGAAAGAUUGCUGCUCAACCGUAAAAUUGCAAUUGAUACUGGCAGUCUUGAGUACAGUAGAGGUAGGUGGAAUUCGUGGUGUAGCGGUAAAAUGCGUAGAGA